Molecule: ribosomal RNA, 484 nt
Filed under: uncultured bacterium
Lineage: Bacteria
Description: partial 16S ribosomal RNA
Rfam family: Bacterial small subunit ribosomal RNA
Source: RNAcentral
AUUGAACGCUGGCGGCAGACCUAACACAUGCAAGUCGAGCGGAUGAAGGGAGCUUGCUCCUGGAUUCAGCGGCGGACGGGUGAGUAAUGCCUAGGAAUCUGCCUGGUAGUGGGGGAUAACGUCCGGAAACGGGCGCUAAUACCGCAUACGUCCUGAGGGAGAAAGUGGGGGAUCUUCGGACCUCACGCUAUCAGAUGAGCCUAGAUCGGAUUAGCUAGUUGGUGGGUUAAAGGCCUACCAAGGCCACGAUCCGUAACUGGUCUGAGAGGAUGAUCAGUCAGACUGGGACGUAGACAUGGUCCAGACUCCUACGGGGGGCAACAGUGGGGAAUAUUGGACAAAGGGGGAAAGCCUGAUCCAGCCAGCCCGGGUGUGAGAAGAAGGUCAUCGGGUUGUAAAGCACUUUAAGUUGGGGAGAAGGGGAGUAAGUUAAAACCUUGCUGUUUUGACGUUACCAACAGAAUAAGCACCGGCUAACUUCGUG